UUCCCUUCCUCUUGUGAUGUCACCAUUUCAGCCUGUGGCUUCCAAGGCUAUCGUGUCAGGAUAAGGCAUGAAGAACGCACAGUCCUUACCUACCUUUGUCCAGAAGUCAUUGAUAUCACUUCCACUCAUAAGUCAUUGACCUAAACUUAUCACCUGGGACCAAGCUGACUACAAGGUCUGAGAAAUGUAAGGAGCAUGGAGAGCAUUUGAUUCACUGUACAAUGAAAAGCCCUACUGUUUUUGUCAAGUUUGCCAGCUCCUGUGAGAAGUUCUACAAAGGAUCAUAAUAUCUGCACAAGACCAAGGUGAGAGAAAUCCAAUAUAAGUCAUGUCAUAGAAUUAUUAUUA
RNAcentral lists this long non-coding RNA (348 nucleotides) under Mustela putorius furo (domestic ferret). RNAcentral describes it as "lncRNA (ENSMPUG00000028804.1)". The record is from RNAcentral. Lineage: Eukaryota; Metazoa; Chordata; Mammalia; Carnivora; Mustelidae.